UAGGGAAUCUUCCGCAAUGGACGAAAGUCUGACGGAGCAACGCCGCGUGAGUGAUGAAGGCUUUCGGGUCGUAAAACUCUGUUGUUAGGGAAGAACAAGUGCUAGUUGAAUAAGCUGGCACCUUGACGGUACCUAACCAGAAAGCCACGGCUAACUACGUGCCAGCAGCCGCGGUAAUACGUAGGUGGCAAGCGUUAUCCGGAAUUAUUGGGCGUAAAGCGCGCGCAGGUGGUUUCUUAAGUCUGAUGUGAAAGCCCACGGCUCAACCGUGGAGGGUCAUUGGAAACUGGGAGACUUGAGUGCAGAAGAGGAAAGUGGAAUUCCAUGUGUAGCGGUGAAAUGCGUAGAGAUAUGGAGGAACACCAGUGGCGAAGGCGACUUUCUGGUCUGUAACUGACACUGAGGCGCGAAAGCGUGGGGAGCAAACAGGAUUAGAUACCCUGGUAGUCCACGCCGUAAACGAUGAGUGCUGAGUGUUAGAGGGUUUCCGCCCUUUAGUGCUGAAGUUAACGCAUUAAGCACUCCGCCUGGGGAGUACGGCCGCAAGGCUGAAACUCAAAGGGAAUUGACGGGGGUCAUA
RNAcentral lists this ribosomal RNA (580 nucleotides) under uncultured bacterium. RNAcentral's name for it is "partial 16S ribosomal RNA". It matches the Rfam family "Bacterial small subunit ribosomal RNA", at positions 355 to 924 of the family's 1533-position model. The record is from RNAcentral.